GCGGCCGUGGCGAAAUUGGUAGACGCAACGGACUUAAAAUCCGUCAGGAGCAAUCCUAUGCCGGUUCGACCCCGGCCGGCCGCACCA
RNAcentral lists this transfer RNA (87 nucleotides) under Asticcacaulis biprosthecium C19. Its description in RNAcentral is "Asticcacaulis biprosthecum C19 tRNA-Leu". It matches the Rfam family "tRNA". Rfam says of the family: Transfer RNA (tRNA) molecules are approximately 80 nucleotides in length. Their secondary structure includes four short double-helical elements and three loops (D, anti-codon, and T loops). RNAcentral also lists the same sequence under 1 other name. The record is from RNAcentral. Lineage: Bacteria; Pseudomonadati; Pseudomonadota; Alphaproteobacteria; Caulobacterales; Caulobacteraceae.